CGGGAAGGGGGCGCGGUCGCGCCCUCCCCUAAAAGGAGGGUGAGGAAAGUCCGGGCACCGUAGGGCAGGGUGCCAGGUAACGCCUGGGCGCCGCAAGGCGACGGAAAGUGCCACAGAGAACAGACCGCCGAUCCGCCUUCCCUCGGGGAAGGGUCAUGGAGGCAAGGGUGAAACGGUGGGGUAAGAGCCCACCAGCACCCCGGGAGACCGGGGUGGCUCGGCAAACCCCACCCGGUGCAAGGCCGUGUGCGGGGAGGGCUUGCCCGGCCCGAUCGCACCCGCGAGAGCUGGCCGCUUGAGGCCACGGGCGACCGUGGUCCCAGAUAGAUGACCGCGCACGACAGAACCCGGCUUACACCCCUUCCCGCCGG
RNAcentral lists this RNase P RNA (371 nucleotides) under Oceanithermus sp. Its description in RNAcentral is "RNase P RNA component class A". It matches the Rfam family "Bacterial RNase P class A". From Rfam's summary of the family: Ribonuclease P (RNase P) is a ubiquitous endoribonuclease, found in archaea, bacteria and eukarya as well as chloroplasts and mitochondria. The record is from RNAcentral. Lineage: Bacteria; Thermotogati; Deinococcota; Deinococci; Thermales; Thermaceae.